UUGGUCAAUGGACGCAAGUCUGAACCAGCCAUGCCGCGUGAAGGAUUAAGGCCCUCUGGGUUGUAAACUUCUUUUAUAGGGGAAGAAAUGUGACGGUUCUCCGUCACUUGACGGUACCCUGGGAAUAAGCACCGGCUAACUCCGUGCCAGCAGCCGCGGUAAUACGGAGGGUGCAAGCGUUAUCCGGAUUCACUGGGUUUAAAGGGUGCGUAGGUGGGCAGAUAAGUCAGUGGUGAAAUCUUCCGGCUUAACCGGGAAACUGCCGUGGAUACUAUUUGUCGUGAAUAUUGCGGAGGUAAGCGGAAUAUGUCAUGUAGCGGUGAAAUGCUUAGAUAUGACAUAGAACACCAAUUGCGAAGGCAGCUUACUACACAAUCAUUGACACUGAGGCACGAAAGC
Molecule: ribosomal RNA, 399 nt
Filed under: uncultured bacterium
Lineage: Bacteria
Description: bacterial SSU rRNA
Rfam family: Bacterial small subunit ribosomal RNA
Source: RNAcentral